CGCGAAGAACCUUACCAGGUCUUGACAUCCUUUGACCACCCUAGAGAUAGGGCUUUCCCUUCGGGGACAAAGUGACAGGUGGUGCAUGGUUGUCGUCAGCUCGUGUCGUGAGAUGUUGGGUUAAGUCCCGCAACGAGCGCAACCCCUAUUAUUAGUUGCCAGCAUUCAGUUGGGCACUCUAAUGAGACUGCCGGUGACAAACCGGAGGAAGGUGGGGAUGACGUCAAAUCAGCAUGCCCCUUAUGACUUGGGCUACACACGUGCUACAAUGGAUGGUACAACGAGUCGCAAACCCGCGAGGGCAAGCAAAUCUCUUAAAGCCAUUCUCAGUUCGGAUUGCAGGCUGCAACUCGCCUGCAUGAAGCCGGAAUCGCUAGUAAUCGUGGAUCAGCACGCCACGGUGAAUACGUUCCCGGGUCUUGUACACACC
RNAcentral lists this ribosomal RNA (430 nucleotides) under uncultured bacterium. RNAcentral describes it as "bacterial SSU rRNA". It matches the Rfam family "Bacterial small subunit ribosomal RNA", at positions 960 to 1391 of the family's 1533-position model. The record is from RNAcentral.